AAAUUCGAGGGGACGCUGGUGGACGGAUUGGGUGCAAGGAGUUGGUGUUGAUGGAGGAGCAGGACGCCAGAGUCCCAGCCCUGGAACCAUUCAGAGUGGAGCAGGUUGUCAGAACUCAGGGUGCAGAGGGUGAAGGAGGCAGGCUGAUUCCUGAGUUCUUGGGUUGGGACUGCCCCCUUCCACCAAAUUCAUUCUUACUGUCAGAGUCCAUUCUGGAAUGGCACUGGUCCCUUGACUUCAGACCCUGACCUGUCUGAGGACAUCCUGAGCCUGUCUUCAGGCAUAGGGGUUGCUCUGUGAUGAUAUGUCCUCUGUGUGGGUUGAAGGACCACACCUUCAGGGGGUCUUUCUAUCCUAGGCACCACCUGUAAUCUACUAUGUCCCUGACUUCAUCUCCAAAGAAGAGGAGGAGUAUUUGCUUCGACAGGUUUUUAAUGCCCCAAAGCCAAAGUGGACCCAGCUCUCUGGGAGAAAGUUACAGAACUGGGGGGAGCCCUCAGGACCCCAUUGCCUUCCCCAGGUGGGCUU
Molecule: small RNA, 528 nt
Filed under: Pongo abelii (Sumatran orangutan)
Lineage: Eukaryota; Metazoa; Chordata; Mammalia; Primates; Hominidae
Description: retained intron
Source: RNAcentral